Molecule: long non-coding RNA, 5691 nt
Organism: Cyanistes caeruleus (blue tit)
Lineage: Eukaryota; Metazoa; Chordata; Aves; Passeriformes; Paridae
Source: RefSeq, a predicted model, not a curated record
ACAGGUGCUUGCCAAAUAAGCAAAAAAUGAGCCAGGGACCUCUGGCCUAACUUACUCCUUUCUCCACCUAAUUUCAGACAUAGAAAGGCUGAAAAUGUCUGAAAAGAAAAACAGAGCAAGAGAGGACUGUGUGCUUUACUAAGGGUCAGUUCUAGGAUACCCCUGGGAGUGAAUCAAUGUAACACAGGAGAAAAAAUACCUGGAAGUAGUGCACUAACCUUCCUGUGUGUUGGCUGAAGCAGUCAGCCCACGGUGGUUCUGGGCUACAGUGAGAUAAAUCAGUGCUGAUGUUCAUGCCAAACCACAGAUACCACACUCAAUUUGUUAGGGAAUAACCCCAGAUCUUUCCAGCAAAAUAUUCACUCCUUCCAUAUCCUGUCAGUGAGCAAUAUGGAAAAAUUUCCCUCUAAUGGGUAAGUGCUGUGCCCUAAAACAAGCCUGGGAAACCAUAGCUUGUACUUCGUGCAUGAAAGUACUGGACAAUUAGAAACUCAGCUGAAGCAUGCAGAUUGUCUGCUGAUGAGGGUAGACACUUAUUUAAAAAGCGUGGAGGAAUUUAUUCUUUGAAUUUUACAGCUGUUGCCAUUUCAACCACAAGGCCAAGUUUACAUCCAUGACAGACGAAAAACACAGCACAGAAAAAAAGAAAUACAGCUUGAUAGUUGCAUGAUGAUUUUACACCUUUCUGAGGCAGGCUUCUUUACCUUCUAUUUCAGUGGCUUUAUCCACACAAAAACUUAUUUUAUUUGUAUCCUAGCAAGAUGAAGUCUCUUGUUCCCCAAGAUGGGGUAGCUGGAACAGAAGGAGUGUCUUGGAGCAGCCCUUGUCCCCUCUGGGACAGAGACUAUAUUGUUUUCAGCCUGAGUGGAAUUGUUACUCUCUCCAUAAUGCCUUCCUGUUUCCACAUUCCUCAUAAAACUACCUCCACAAAAAAUGGACCAUCCUCCCAGAAGGGAGCAGGGAUGGGACUCAACUAGAGAUGGAAGAGCACAUUAGUCUCUUCUCUCCAUGUGCAUUUUCUUUUUCAGUUACCUGUUAAGAUCCAGCAAAGAGUCUGGAGAUGUGUUUUUCUCCUUACCUAGAUAAAACAGUUUUGCUCUUUAGAUACUGCAAUGACACUCUGAUGCCAUCUGUCUAACACAGUCCAUUGGACAAAUGAAGAUAAUCUUCCACUACCUUUGUGUUACAUCCUUGAGUAAACUGGGCUGAUGCCUGUUUGUACUUGACCUCACAGCUGGGUGAUCUCCUCACCGUUAUUCCAAAAUCAGUGAAACAAGAUAAAACCAGCCAAGACCAAACCUUAGCAUUGCCACAUGGCCUCAGUUCAAAUCUUCAUAAUGAAACCUUUUAGGAGACAUCCCUGAAGCUGUAGCUUGCUUAGUCUGACCAGAAGAGCACAGGUGUCAGGGCAGGUGUCAUUCUACGUUCAUCGUGCUGCCUCACAUGUUGGUGUCCCGGGGUCAUGUGCACAUGUGAUGGACAAGGAGCAGCCUGUUGCAUAUUUAGAUGGGUAGUGCAUGGUGUGACAGACACAGAGCUAUCCCACAAUGAUUUUAACAGGGUGCACUGGCCUCAUAACUGUUUGUUGCACAAAUAUUUGGCUUAUGCUUAAUAGCAGACUGUAAGGAAAACAAUCACAAAGGAAGCAAAAUGGCUUGAACUCAGCCAGCCCUGCAGUUAACACAGGACAAUGGGAAAGUCAUGGGCUCCCAGGAGUCUGGUUCAGCUUCCUGCAGGGCCUACUGAACUGGUUGGGAAAGACAGAGCCAAAAGUCUGACAAGCGAGAAGCACAAAUGAACUCUGGCUGCAUCAGCAGGACUCUCUUUUCAGAGCCAAGGAGAUCUUGGGGAGCUGUUCAGGGCCACCAGACCGAGACUCAGGCACUCGCUGUAGUGUCUGCAGAAGCAGAGACCUGCCUCCGUUGCCAAAGGGGCAGAGCUGUGGAUAAUUUGGAGGAUGGAGAAGAACUGCUCAUUUUGUAAAUGCCUUUUGGAAAAGGAAACAAUACUAUAGUUUUGAGAAAGUGGUUUUGACAUUUUGUGGGCAUCAUUUGUCACUCUAUCCUUGAGGGAAAGUCCACAGGCAUCCAAACAUGGCUUUUGGUGAAACCUUUCCUUUCUGUAUUACAGUCCCUGGCAACUCAAGGGAAGUUGAGACCCAGACUCUUGAAAUGUGCCCCAGCUGGCCAAGGCUCAGUGUCCAAGGUGAGGCCAAGACCCAGUUUCUAGCAACAAACUCUGCUGAAACUAUGGGUGUUAGCCCCACAGUUCAGACACUGGUGGUUGUCUCCAGCCUAUGUCUCAUGCCAAUGAGAGCAUCAGACAGUACCUGCUGUCUGGGCCAACCUGUCUUUUUCUCUUGUGGGCUUUGUGACCCAUCAGACACCAGAGAGGCAGAAGUGCUGCUAGUCCUGCUGUCUGAGGGCUUGAACAGAGACAACAGGGCAAGCUCUUCCCACCUAGAGAAAGCACUGACUCUUGGUGCUGGAAAUGGUAAUGCUCUUUUCCAGGGCCCAGUAUCCUCUGCUCUACUGCAAACACAUAAACAAGGCUUGUUUAAGUCACCUGAAUUCAUAUUUAACCUAUCAGCACAUUAGUGACUUUGCACUACAGUGCAAUACAGUAUGGGACAGGCCUGCUCAGCUCCCGUCUUCCAAUUCCAGGGCAGUAACAAGAAGUACUAACGCAUGCUCAUGAUCAUCUGAGCCAUAUCUGCACAUCAUUGCCUUGUCCAUGUUGCCUUUCCAGACUAGCCGUUCUUCUCUUCCAAAACCAAACUGCUAAUUUAGAUAAAAUUUCAUUGAGGCUCCUGUGGGCAUUGUAGCUGUGCACCAGUAAGAAAGGAUAGAGCCCUUGUUGGACAACAGCAAAGACUCACUGGCUUAUGUAUAUGAGGACAAGUGACUUCUAGGUCAUAUUUAAUUUACCCUUACCACACAGACCAUAAUUGCAUCUAACCAGAGGAAAACAUUGCACGAUAGGGAAAACAGGCAGACCAUGAAAGAAGCAUACACCCCGUGUUAAGUAAGCAGAUGUCACAGGAAGGAAAAUGCAAUAUACUGUAGGUGCUGAAAGCCUUAAACUGACAUCUGCUUUUCUUUAUUUCUGUCUAAAAUUCUCCUUUAACAUCUGACAUCAUGAUCUCAUUUUGAUCCUUUCUGAUAUAAAGUGGUGAUAGCUUAUAUCUGCAACUCUCUACAAGACAUUCUUUUCCUGUUUCAUCUUCUUGUUACAUCUGAAUUAAUCUUUAUCUGAGAGAUGAUUUCUCACCAAUCCACCAGCAACACUGGUAAGUUACUUUAGAGAAGGUCAUAUAUGAUCAUAAAAUGACAUUUAACUGAAGAAAGAAUCAGCAGCAGAAACAAAAGUUUAGUAAACAUUAGCUAGUCUUCUUGUCCCUUAGCAGGAACCUAUUCUCAAAACCCACUACUAACAAAGGAAAAACUGGCCCAUAAGAGCACCAAUCUUUCUUCUUCUGUCCACAAUCCCUCACAGAAACUACAGCUUAAAAUCUCAGCAGGGAGUUCCAUGUUGAGUACCUCAUGCUUUGGAAGCACAACUUGAGAAAUAUUAUAUUACAGGGGCCCAAUUUAAAGGAGUCCUCUCAAAAAUCAGUCUUUGUUUUGGACAUCAUAAGCUGUUCAGCACCACCAGUCAAAUGCUAAGAUCUUGGGUAGAAAGUACAUCUUUCCAUAAGCAGCGUGCAUCUCUUCACAACAAGAACCCAGUCUGCCGUUUGUACUGCUUGGUGUUCUAACCUCAAGUAAAUACACCAUGUGAUCUGCAGGAUAUGUCUCUGAGCAUGCUUACAUGGUAAUAAUGAUGUUAAAUAGAAUGGCCAUAUGAUUUAUUAUGUCUUGUGAAAUAAAGCAAAGCCAAUCUCUUCCCACCAAGGGAAGUACCAGCACAGUAGAAAAUGGAAACAAGAAAAAAAUUAAAUACCACCCAGGCCUGGUUUAAACAUGCAAACUUUCUAAUAAAAUAUCAGAACCAGAUGCUGCUAAAGAUGAGUGAUAAUUAAAGAAGAUAAAUUAAAGAAAUGUUUUUCCAGGGAAUGACUCUACUGCACACAAAUUGUUUCAGCAUGGCAAAAAAAAUAUAAUAAAAUUACUGCUGCUGCCUGUUUUCAAAAGUUUCCAUUAAUAAGUCAAGGCAGGUUCCCUGCUAAAUUCCCUUAUAUCCAGGCUCCCUCUUUGCCUCUGUUGGUUUAAUCUCAGUGUGGUUUAGCAGAGUGAGCAGAGGACUGAGCGCCAGGAAUUCAGCUCCAGCACUGACUCACUGUGUGGGCUCCCUUAUGUCAUGCUCAGGGCAGGUCAGGCCUGGAAAGCACAUCUCUGAAAAUGGUCCUGAGGGGUCCAGAGCCUGACGGUCUCCCCACUCGUGUGUCAGAUGUGCACAGUUCACCAGAGUUUUCCCCUGACUGUCAGCUCAGCAAACUGAUCUCAGGCUAAGCUGGUGUAAUGUGUUUUUUUCAGUCUGGUGUCUCAUCGCAAGAAAUAAGUACGCUGGGAGCCAAGUUAUGCAGACACCUGUGCAAACUCACGGCAGGAAACGCGGCUGGAGCAUUGCAGAUGAAGGGUGCAUUCAGCAGACCCACUAAGACCACCCUGGAGCUUUAUGUGCCUGUGUAUAAACUCAUCUUAGUCCGGGUUGCUGUUAAGCUCCAUUUUAGCUAAACACAAGAUGGUGUUUAAGCCCCUCAAAGGCUUUUAAUUUCUUGAGAUUUCUCACACGCAGAAAAGUGUCCAUCUAAUUGCCAAAGGCAAUUUUGCAGCAAGUAAAAUAACGCGCUGCACCGGGAGAGGAAAAGAAUGAAACAAACCCAUGUAAAUACAGAGCCUAGUUCCCUUUUAACCACAUGUUCCCCAGGCUCACCACCUCUGCAGAAGCCUAUGAGGAAAAAUGUGGUUUGCAGCGUGCCUGUAAAGCCAAAAAUCUGGCGUGUUUGGGGCCGAGUGAGGGCUCAGCAUGGGUAAGCGCCAGGUGAGGCAGCGCAUCCCCGGAGCCCCGGGCCACAGGGCCCUGAGGACCGGCACUGCUGCUCCCUGGUCACAUCCCCGGAGCCCCGGGCCACAGGGCCCUGAGGACCGGCACUGCUGCUCCCUAGCCACAUCCCCGGGCCACAGGGCCCUGAGGACCAGCACUGCUGCUCCCUGGUCACAUCCCCGGAGCCCCGAGCCACAGGGCCCUGAGGACCGGCACUGCUGCUCCCUGGCCACAUCCCCGGGCCACAGGGCCCUGAGGACCGGCACUGCUGCUCCCUGGCCACAUCCCCGGGCCACAGGGCCCUGAGGACCGGCACUGCUGCUCCCUGGCCGCAUCCCCGCUCGCAAAACCAGCGUAAGGCAGAGCCUGGUGUGGCAAGUCCUCAUGCAACCAGUGCUGCAGGGCAUCUGUCCCCAAAACACACUUCUCACCUGCUCGACAGACAGACUCCCCUGGAGAUAUCAGACAGAAAAUUCAUUGGAGUGGGGAGGAGAAGGAGAGGAGAGGUGAGGAAAGUCUUGUCCAGCUUGAAAGAAGCACCAUCAUCUGUUGGGUGAUCCUGAGCUGCUGAGAUAGAGGGAUUGGCUCCUUCUCCCUCUCAGAGAGAGCUUCAGAUGAGUGGAUGGCUCUCAGGUGUCAAGCAUGAAGUCUGUGACUUAUUCACAUCUUGUUGAUUUCAUAAAGAAAAGGUUUCCUGCUGUUAUG